RNAcentral lists this ribosomal RNA (250 nucleotides) under uncultured Haliea sp. RNAcentral's name for it is "partial 16S ribosomal RNA". It matches the Rfam family "Bacterial small subunit ribosomal RNA", at positions 86 to 339 of the family's 1533-position model. Lineage: Bacteria; Pseudomonadati; Pseudomonadota; Gammaproteobacteria; Cellvibrionales; Halieaceae. The record is from RNAcentral.
CUGAGUACAGCGGCGGACGGGUGAGUAACGCGUAGGAAUCUACCCAGUAGUGGGGGACAACUUAGGGAAACUUAAGCUAAUACCGCAUACGCCCUAAGGGGGAAAGCGGGGGAUCUUCGGACCUCGCGCUAUUGGAAGAGCUUGCGUUAGAUUAGCUAGUUGGUGGGGUAAAGGCUCACCAAGGCGACGAUCUAUAGCUGGUCUGAGAGGAUGAUCAGCCACACUGGGACUGAGACACGGCCCAGACUCC